AGCGAACGCUGGCGGCAGGCCUAACACAUGCAAGUCGAACGAACCUUUCGGGGUUAGUGGCGGACGGGUGAGUAACACGUGGGAACGUGCCUUUAGGUUCGGAAUAACUCAGGGAAACUUGUGCUAAUACCGAAUGUGCCCUUCGGGGGAAGGAUUUAUCGCCUUUAGAGCGGCCCGGGUCAGUUUAGCUAGUUGGUUGGGGGAAUGGCACACCAAGGCGACGUUCAGUAGCUGGUCGGAGAGGAUGAUAAGCCAGAUUGGGACUGAGACACGGCCCAAACUGCUACGGGGGGGAGCAGUGGGGAAUCUUGCGGAAGGGGCGAAAGCCUGACGAAGCCAUGCCGCGGGAAUGAUGAAGGUCUUAGGAUUGUAAAAUUCUUUCACCGGGGACGAUAAUGACGGUACCCGGAGAAGAAGCCCCGGCUAACUUCGUG
Molecule: ribosomal RNA, 434 nt
Filed under: uncultured bacterium
Lineage: Bacteria
Description: partial 16S ribosomal RNA
Rfam family: Bacterial small subunit ribosomal RNA
Source: RNAcentral